GUUUCGCACUUUUCUGUCUGCUCGGCGCUGUGGCAUGGGUUGUGGAUGGAAAUCCACAAGCUGAAGAAGAAGCAGCACCACAGCCUAUUGCUUUUAAAGUUUUCACUUAUAAUGACACUUCGUAUGCAGUGGGCCUCUACAACAAGGUUAACUGGUAUCAGGCCGAGCUCAUUUGUGCCUCCCAGGACUAUACUCUAGUUGCCAUACCCUCUGAAGUUAUACAAAACCGUAUAAUGAAUUGGAUAGAUGCCAGCGUCAAUGAAUAUUUGCCCUCGCUUGGUGAUGAUCCAUUGUGGACCUCAGGCACAAACCAGGGAGUCACGACUCAAUAUAUAUGGCAAAGUAGUGGAAGAUCUUUCACCUAUAGAAACUUUGAGACAAAUACACCUACAACAACCCCUCGUUGCAUCGCAGUUAAUGGAUCAACCGGAACCUGGUCUGACCACGACUGUAGAGAGCAGCGUUACUUUUUGUGCGAGAAGGUGACAAAAGAAACUUCAUGUUAAUGAAAUAAAAACCAUUCCACAAAAUUAAUUA
Molecule: long non-coding RNA, 537 nt
Organism: Drosophila innubila
Lineage: Eukaryota; Metazoa; Arthropoda; Insecta; Diptera; Drosophilidae
Exons: 2
Source: RefSeq, a predicted model, not a curated record